Molecule: ribosomal RNA, 245 nt
Filed under: uncultured bacterium
Lineage: Bacteria
Description: partial 16S ribosomal RNA
Rfam family: Bacterial small subunit ribosomal RNA
Source: RNAcentral
CGUGGGUAACCGUGCCCAAGAGACUGGGAGUAACACCUGGAACAGAUGCUAAUACCGGAUAACAACACUAGACGCAUGUCUAGNGUUUAAAAGAUGGUUCUGCUAUCACUCUUGGAUGGACCUGCGGUGCAUUAGCUAGUUGGUAAGGUAACGGCUUACCAAGGCAAUGAUGCAUAGCCGAGUUGAGAGACUGAUCGGCCACAUUGGGACUGAGACACGGCCCAAACUCCUACGGGAGGCAGCAG